UACGUAGGGACCAAGCGUUGUCCGGAAUCAUUGGGCGUAAAGAGCUCGUAGGCGGUCUGUUGCGUCCGCUGUGAAAACUCGGGGCUUAACCCCGAGCCUGCAGUGGAUACGGGCAGACUAGAGGUAGGUAGGGGAGAAUGGAAUUCCCGGUGUAGCGGUGAAAUGCGCAGAUAUCGGGAGGAACACCGGUGGCGAAGGCGGUUCUCUGGGCCUUGCCUGACGCUGAGGAGCGAAAGCGUGGGGAGCGAACAGG
RNAcentral lists this ribosomal RNA (253 nucleotides) under uncultured bacterium. Its description in RNAcentral is "partial 16S ribosomal RNA". It matches the Rfam family "Bacterial small subunit ribosomal RNA", at positions 524 to 776 of the family's 1533-position model. The record is from RNAcentral.